RNAcentral lists this ribosomal RNA (505 nucleotides) under uncultured bacterium. RNAcentral's name for it is "partial 16S ribosomal RNA". It matches the Rfam family "Bacterial small subunit ribosomal RNA", at positions 28 to 523 of the family's 1533-position model. The record is from RNAcentral.
GAUGAACGCUAGCGGCAGGCCUAACACAUGCAAGUCGAGGGGCAGCAUAAAAAUUCAGCAAUGAGUUUUGGUGGCGACCGGCGGACGGGUGCGUAACGCGUAUGCAACCUACCUUUAACAGGGGGAUAACGGAGAGAAAUUUCCACUAAUACCCCAUAAUAUCAGAAGAGGCAUCUCUUUCGGUUGAAAUCUCCGGAGGUUAAAGAUGGGCAUGCGUUGUAUUAGGUAGUUGGUGGGGUAAUGGCUCACCAAGCCUACGAUACAUAGGGGGACUGAGAGGUUAGCCCCCCACACUGGUACUGAGACACGGACCAGACUCCUACGGGAGGCAGCAGUGAGGAAUAUUGGUCAAUGGGGGCAACCCUGAACCAGCCAUGCCGCGCGCAGGAAGACGGCUCUAUGAGUUGUAAACUGCUUUUGUACAGGGUAAUUGCGCGCACGUGUGCGUGUUUGAAAGUAUCGUAUGAAUAAGGAUCGGCUAACUCCGUGCCAGCCGCCGCGGUAA